Molecule: long non-coding RNA, 208 nt
Filed under: Fukomys damarensis (Damara mole-rat)
Lineage: Eukaryota; Metazoa; Chordata; Mammalia; Rodentia; Bathyergidae
Description: lncRNA (ENSFDAG00000022727.1)
Source: RNAcentral
GAGAUGAAGAAAAAUAACAUCAUUACUAUCAUCAUCAUCAUCAUUAUUGGAAUCAUUUGCCUUUUGAGUGUUAGUUUUUGUAGACCAUCGAGCUACCCAGAGGCAUUCAAUAAGAGAGAAGCUAAGAAGCCCAAAGGAUUGCACCAUGAAUCUGUUCAUUAGACAAGACACAGUUCACGGAUCAGCUACAAAAGAGGAUCUUAUCCCA